Molecule: ribosomal RNA, 372 nt
Filed under: uncultured organism
Description: bacterial SSU rRNA
Rfam family: Bacterial small subunit ribosomal RNA
Source: RNAcentral
CAGAGGGGGCAAGCGUUGUUCGGAAUUACUGGGCGUAAAGGGCGCGUAGGUGGCCUUCUAAGUUGAACGUGAAAUCCCUGGGCUCAACCCAGGAACUGCGUCCAAGACUGGGAGGCUUGAAUCCGGGAGAGGGAUGCGGAAUUCCAGGUGUAGCGGUGAAAUGCGUAGAUAUCUGGAGGAACACCGGUGGCGAAGGCGGCAUCCUGGACCGGUAUUGACACUGAGGCGCGAAAGCCAGGGGAGCAAACGGGAUCAGAUACCCCGGUAGUCCUGGCCCUAAACGAUGAAUGCUUGGUGUGGCGGGUAUCGAUCCCUGCCGUGCCGAAGCUAACGCAUUAAGCAUUCCGCCUGGGGAGUACGGUCGCAAGGCUG